Molecule: ribosomal RNA, 497 nt
Filed under: uncultured bacterium
Lineage: Bacteria
Description: partial 16S ribosomal RNA
Rfam family: Bacterial small subunit ribosomal RNA
Source: RNAcentral
GAUGAACGCUGGCGGCGUGCCUAAUACAUGCAAGUCGAGCGAACAGAUAAGGAGCUUGCUCCUUUGACGUUAGCGGCGGACGGGUGAGUUACACGUGGAUAACCUACCUAUAAGACUGGGAUAACUUCGGGAAACCGGAGCUAAUACCGGAUAACAUAUUGAACCGCAUGGUUCAAUAGUGAAAGGCGGCUUUGCUGUCACUUAUAGAUGGAUCCGCGCCGUAUUAGCUAGUUGGUAAGGUAACGGCUUACCAAGGCAACGAUACGUAGCCGACCUGAGAGGGUGAUCGGCCACACUGGAACUGAGACACGGUCCAGACUCCUACGGGAGGCAGCAGUAGGGAAUCUUCCGCAAUGGGCGAAAGCCUGACGGAGCAACGCCGCGUGAGUGAUGAAGGUCUUCGGAUCGUAAAACUCUGUUAUCAGGGAAGAACAAAUGUGUAAGUAACUGUGCACAUCUUGACGGUACCUGAUCAGAAAGCCACGGCUAACUACGUG